CAGCUUACACAUGCAAGUCGAGCGGAGCGAGGGUGCUUGCACCUUAGCUUAGCGGCGGACGGGUGAGUAAUGCUUAGGAAUCUGCCUAUUAGUGGGGGACAACAUUCCGAAAGGAAUGCUAAUACCGCAUACGCCCUACGGGGGAAAGCAGGGGAUCUUCGGACCUUGCGCUAAUAGAUGAGCCUAAGUCGGAUUAGCUAGUUGGCGGGGUAAAGGCCUACCAAGGCGACGAUCUGUAGCGGGUCUGAGAGGAUGAUCCGCCACACUGGGACUGAGACACGGCCCAGACUCCUACGGGAGGCAGCAGUGGGGAAUAUUGGACAAUGGGGGGAACCCUGAUCCAGCCAUGCCGCGUGUGUGAAGAAGGCCUUUUGGUUGUAAAGCACUUUAAGCGAGGAGGAGGCUACCGAGAUUAAUACUCUUGGAUAGUGGACGUUACUCGCAGAAUAAGCACCGGCUAACUCUGUGCCAGCAGCCGCGGUAAUACAGAGGGUGCGAGCGUUAAUCGGAUUUACUGGGCGUAAAGCGUGCGUAGGCGGCUGAUUAAGUCGGAUGUGAAAUCCCUGAGCUUAACUUAGGAAUUGCAUUCGAUACUGGUCAGCUAGAGUAUGGGAGAGGAUGGUAGAAUUCCAGGUGUAGCGGUGAAAUGCGUAGAGAUCUGGAGGAAUACCGAUGGCGAACGCAGCCAUCUGGCCUAAUACUGACGCUGAGGUACGAAAGCAUGGGGAGCAAACAGGAUUAGAUACCCUGGUAGUCCAUGCCGUAACGAUGUCUACUAGCCGUUGGGGCCUUUGAGCUUUAGUGCGCAGCUACGCGAUAGUAGACGCUGGGGAGUACGGUCGCAGACUA
Molecule: ribosomal RNA, 849 nt
Filed under: uncultured bacterium
Lineage: Bacteria
Description: bacterial SSU rRNA
Rfam family: Bacterial small subunit ribosomal RNA
Source: RNAcentral